RNAcentral lists this ribosomal RNA (497 nucleotides) under uncultured bacterium. RNAcentral's name for it is "partial 16S ribosomal RNA". It matches the Rfam family "Bacterial small subunit ribosomal RNA", at positions 28 to 507 of the family's 1533-position model. The record is from RNAcentral.
GAUGAACGCUGGCGGCGUGCCUAAUACAUGCAAGUCGAGCGAACAGACGAGGAGCUUGCUCCUCUGACGUUAGCGGCGGACGGGCGAGUAACACGUGGAUAACCUACCUAUAAGACUGGGAUAACUUCGGGAAACCGGAGCUAAUACCGGAUCAUAUAUUGAACCGCAUGGUUCAAUAGUGAAAGACGGUUUUGCUGUCACUUAUAGAUGGAUCCGCGCCGCAUUAGCUAGUUGGUAAGGUAACGGCUUACCAAGGCAACGAUGCGUAGCCGACCUGAGAGGGUGAUCGGCCACACUGGAACUGAGACACGGUCCAGACUCCUACGGGAGGCAGCAGUAGGGAAUCUUCCGCAAUGGGCGAAAGCCUGACGGAGCAACGCCGCGUGAGUGAUGAAGGUCUUCGGAUCGUAAAACUCUGUUAUUAGGGAAGAACAAAUGUGUAAGUAACUAUGCACGUCUUGACGGUACCUAAUCAGAAAGCCACGGCUAACUACGUG